UAGGGAAUUUUGCGCAAUGGGCGAAAGCCUGACGCAGCAACACCGCGUGAACGAAGAAGCUUUUUGGAGUGUAAAGUUCUGUCAGUGGGGAAGAAUAAAUGACUGUACCCACAAAGGAAGCAUCGGCUAACUACGUGCCAGCAGCCGCGGUAAGACGUAGGAUGCAAGCGUUGUCCGGAAUUAUUGGGCGUAAAGAGUUCGUAGGCGGCAUAUCAAGUCUGACGUUAAAUCCCGAAGCUCAACUUCGGAUCGGCAUUGGAUACUGAUAAGCUUGAGUACAGAAGAGGCAAGGGGAAUUCCCAGUGUAGCGGUGAAAUGCGUAGAUAUUGGGAGGAACACCGGUGGCGUAAGCGCCUUGCUGGGCUGUAGCUGACGCUGAGGAACGAAAGCCAGGGGAGCAAAUGGG
Molecule: ribosomal RNA, 406 nt
Filed under: uncultured bacterium
Lineage: Bacteria
Description: bacterial SSU rRNA
Rfam family: Bacterial small subunit ribosomal RNA
Source: RNAcentral